AAUUCCAACUCCCGUUACCAUGGG
RNAcentral lists this non-coding RNA (24 nucleotides) under Gossypium hirsutum (cotton). Lineage: Eukaryota; Viridiplantae; Streptophyta; Magnoliopsida; Malvales; Malvaceae. The record is from RNAcentral.